AUGAACUGAGGCCAUUUUUUUUUUCUUUUGGGAAAAUGUGGUCACUUUUUUUAACAUUGAGGAGAUGUUACUUUAAUAAGUAUGUAUAUUUUUGCUUUUUCCCUUAUAACAGCAGGAAAAGGAUUAAAUGCAGUUAUUACAGAGGUGCAAAUUAAAGUGGCAAUUAUCAGGUUUUUUUAAAUCUAUUUUUCCCAGAAGGUGAUACACACAUCUCCCCCAUAUUCUUUUUAAAGAGUUAACAUACGUAUCCUCGUUGUAUUUUUUUUUUUUUUUUUUGAAGGGGGAAGGAGAGAAUUCAUGAAAACAACCUACAGGUGAUGCAAUUUCUUAGAUUAAUUUUUCCUCACUGGAGGUCACAUGGACUUCAUGCUGUGGUUCUGCCUAAAAGAAGUGAAGCUCUUCUUCAUCUCUCUUGUUCCCCCACGUGAGAAUUGAAAUAGUUGGGAUUCACUGAAAGGCAGCCAGGAAGUUUUCCCAAGGCACCUGGGAACCCUGUCCUAACUCUGAGAUGUUUUUCAAACCUAGUUUUGGCCAAAUAUAGCAAAGUAGAGUCAGAUUCCAGCUGUCUGCUAAUUUCUUCAUAAGGUGCUUCCUGGUUACUGCGCACACUGAUUGACAAGUAGGCAAGCUACCAAUAAGAGAACAAAAAUUGCACUUCCAAGCACAGACUAUAUUCACAUCUGAAGAAGUGAUUGAGUUGUGUGAAUAGCAUUUCAAAUCUCAAAAUAGCAGAAGGGAAUGUGUGGGACUCAACCCUUUCCCAAAUCCCUAAGGUUGGUGGCAACCUUGGCUAUGGUAUAACCAAGGUCUCUUGAGCCCUGUUAGCCUGUGCUCUGUCAUGGGGGGUAUGACUGGGCGUAGAGUUCAGGCAGACAGUAUUUUAAAACUGGCUCAGAGCCCAUUUCCUAAGGACACUCAGCUGGGGCAUCUGGUCUCUGGAAAGGGACAUGGCCUUUGAAGCAACUCUGGAAACUAAACCUCAGCUUUGCCAUUUUAUUAGAACUGUGACCUUAGGCCAUUUACCUUAGCCUCAGUUUCUUUAUCUGUAAAAUGGCAGUCACAAAGCUUCUCUUAAAGAGUUUCAAUAAUUACAUAUUUUAUUUUGAUGCCUACAACAUGUCUCCUCUACAGUCUGAGUGGAAACAACAUGUUUAAAGCGAUACAAACAGAAUCAAGAAGGCAAAAAGCGUAAGUGGUGGGAAGGCAUAGGGUUGCAUUCUACCAAAUAAAUCCCUAUUCCGGGUAUUAUCAAUUCAGGGUGUUUAGUAAGAUUUGAAUUCCAUACAGAUAAUCUGACUAAAUAAAACUGCAACCUAAUUACUAGUUGUGGUUCAAUCUGUUGAAGUUACUAAAAUUUAAGGCUAGAAUAUUUCUUAAAGAACAAUUAAUUCAAACUGUAUUUGACAGAUGGGACAAAGCAAUGGGCAAGCAGGAGCUUCUACAGGGCAUCUCCAACCCUAGAUCCCAGAUUUCCUGACUCCUAAUUCACUCUUUUCCCCACCACACCAUGCCUCUGAUAUUAUGGAGAGAACAGUCUACACUCAUUAAAAUACUAUUUUGUGGAAUUAUGGCCUUUUAUGUUGCUAGCAGCCACACCACCAAUUUAAGGAAAACAAUAAAUUGUCUCUAAUCUUCAAAUCCAUGGGUCCAUGUGAAAAUCCCCAUGGAUUGUGCUGUCAGAAUUUCUGACACUAGGUUUCCCGAUUCCUGCCAUGGUGUAUUUAUUGGUUUGUCUCUUCAAAGAACUCACCCUUUCUCAGCAGCUUAUUUCCCUAAGUCUCAGUUCCCAUGUCCUGCCUUACCCUCUCUCCUGGCUAUGAAGAAGAAAGUACACUGUUUUCUUUUUAAACUUGGUGUCUUCAGCCACAGGCCUUACAAUGUCAAAUCAUUACUUAAUAGCUAUUGUGAGCUUCAGAGAGAUAGAUUGAUCAAUUCAGAUCUGGGGUAAUUAUGAGUAACUUUUAUUUCCAUGUCAACCUUUUUCCUCCUCCAUUUCUCUAGCCCACCAGCCUCAAACUCAAUGGAUUUACCUUCACAAUCUCAAUCAAAUAGCUGCCCUUUACUCUUUGAUGCUUUUAAUUUUUUUUUUUUUUUGACUCAUGUGACUAGGUAAAAAGCCUUGUAAAUGGUUCUCAAAAAUUUCCAGCCCUACUUCCUGUGAGCUCCCUUUAAUCACACAUCCUCUGGACUCAUUACGUCUUAUCUGUGACAAAAGACGUUGCGCAACAUUUCCUCUCCAGCUGAGGCUCUCACUCAAGACAGUCCAAAGAACUAGCACUUUUGGGCCCGGGCCAACCUGCAGACCCAGCAACCUUCACAGCCAUGGCAAGGACAGAGAGCUGGGAUAACCAGUUGCCAGAAUCCAGAAUCUGGUUAGGAUCCUUGGAGAACAGAACACCUGGCCAGGGACCACCAUGGCUCUGUACAGAAUCCUCUGGAUAUCAAUACACUCCCACCCUUGGGGCUGGACAGACUGAUGGAUCCAUCUGUAGGGCAGGCGCAGCCAGAACAGAAAACUGAACAAGAAGGUAAUGAAGAGUUGGAGUUGAACCAGGAAACAGAGGACUUGGAAUUAACAGGAAUUCCAAAAGAGAACAGCAAGUCUAGCUCCUCAGGAGGGAGGAGGAGUUUCCUGGAGACUUCGUGAAGAACGGUCAAACUUCCCAAGCAGAGUAUGACCAUGCCUCACAGAAAUCACAAGUGGGCUACCAGGUCUGUCCACACUGGGACUUUCAUCUGCCCCCAUCUCACAGCGGUCCAAGGAAUAUGCGGGAAGUCUGUGGAGAGUCUGUGGAGGGUUCCUGGCAUAUGGGAGGAAGAGGAAGAUCCAACCAGAGGGGUGUGAGAGCCCCCUAAGUAGACUUGCUGAAACUUUGAGCUCUUAAUGACUUCCUCCUUCACUAGGAGGUCCCUGAGAUCUCUUCCAGUCUCUUCUUCAUCCCCAUAAAAUGAAGGCACAGAAAUGACUCAAUUCUGAAGUACUAUUUAUUGUCUAGAUCAGUAUACUGUGACUUCAAGUUUUCAGAAAAUUUAAGUUUGCUCAGUUUAUUUUUCCAGAGAGAACUUUGACUCUCUCUCUCUCUCUCUUAAAAAAAAAAUCUUUGCUGAUCUUAGGACAUAAUAAAGAGAGUACUUUUUAAA
This is a long non-coding RNA of Canis lupus familiaris (dog), 3141 nucleotides long. RefSeq lists it as uncharacterized. NCBI's taxonomy places the organism in Eukaryota, Metazoa, Chordata, Mammalia, Carnivora, Canidae. The record is from RefSeq and is a predicted model, not a curated record. The transcript has 2 exons.